AGUAUGUGGUUAAUUCGAUGCAACGCGAAGAACCUUACCUGGUCUUGACAUCCCGGAGACCCUUAGGAAACUAGGGGGUGCUUCCAUCUGGAAGAAUCUGGAGACAGGUGCUGCAUGGCUGUCGUCAGCUCGUGUCGUGAGAUGUUGGGUUAAGUCCCGCAACGAGCGCAACCCUUGCCUUUAGUUGCCAGCAGUUCGGCUGGGCACUCUAAAGGGACUGCCGGUGUUAAACCGGAGGAAGGUGGGGAUGACGUCAAGUCCUCAUGGCCUUUAUGACCAGGGCUACACACGUACUACAAUGGCCGAUACAAAGGGCAGCGACACUGCGAGGUGAAGCCAAUCCCGUAAAAUCGGUCUCAGUCCGGAUUGGAGUCUGCAACUCGACUCCAUGAAGUUGGAAUCGCUAGUAAUCGUGGAUCAGCAUGCCACGGUGAAUACGUUCCCGGGCCUU
This 451-nucleotide ribosomal RNA is filed under the name uncultured Desulfobulbus sp. RNAcentral's name for it is "bacterial SSU rRNA". It matches the Rfam family "Bacterial small subunit ribosomal RNA", at positions 936 to 1382 of the family's 1533-position model. The record is from RNAcentral. Lineage: Bacteria; Pseudomonadati; Thermodesulfobacteriota; Desulfobulbia; Desulfobulbales; Desulfobulbaceae.